CCUGGCUCAGGAUGAACGCUAGCUACAGGCUUAACACAUGCAAGUCGAGGGGCAGCAUUGGGAUAGCUUGCUAUUCCAGAUGGCGACCGGCGCACGGGUGAGUAACGCGUAUCCAACCUUCCCUAUAGUAGAGAAUAGCCCGGCGAAAGUCGGAUUAAUGCUCUAUGUUGUGUUUUGAGGACAUCUGACGAACACCAAAGGUUCACCGCUAUAGGAUGGGGAUGCGUCUGAUUAGCUUGUUGGCGGGGUAACGGCCCACCAAGGCGACGAUCAGUAGGGGUUCUGAGAGGAAGGUCCCCCACAUUGGUACUGAGACACGGACCAAACUCCUACGGGAGGCAGCAGUGAGGAAUAUUGGUCAAUGGGCGAGAGCCUGAACCAGCCAAGUGGCGUGCAGGAUGACUGCCCUAUGGGUUGUAAACUGCUUUUAUCAGGGAAUAAAGUGCGGCACGUGUGCCGUUUUGUAUGUACCUGAUGAAUAAGGACCGGCUAAUUCCGUGCCAGCCGCUGC
RNAcentral lists this ribosomal RNA (511 nucleotides) under uncultured bacterium. Its description in RNAcentral is "bacterial SSU rRNA". It matches the Rfam family "Bacterial small subunit ribosomal RNA", at positions 18 to 518 of the family's 1533-position model. The record is from RNAcentral.